Molecule: ribosomal RNA, 247 nt
Filed under: uncultured bacterium
Lineage: Bacteria
Description: partial 16S ribosomal RNA
Rfam family: Bacterial small subunit ribosomal RNA
Source: RNAcentral
AAUCAUGGCUCAGGAUAAACGCUGGCGGCGCACAUAAGACAUGCAAGUCGAACGGAAGUCGUUGUAAUGAAAUGGAAAUGGACAGAGAACUUGUUCGAAGAAAAUUGAAGUAGACUUACAACAAUGGCUUUAGUGGCGGACUGGUGAGUAACGCGUAAGGAACCUGCCUUUUAGAGGGGAAUAACAAUGAGAAAUCAUUGCUAAUACCGCAUAUGCCGAGAGAAUCACAUGGUACAAUCGGGAAAGG